AGAGCGAACGCUGGCGGCAGGCCUAAUACAUGCAAGUCGAACGGAUCCUUCGGGAUUAGUGGCGGACGGGUGAGUAACACGUGGGAACGUACCCUUUGGUUCGGAACAACUCAGGGAAACUUGAGCUAAUACCGAAUGUGCCCUUCGGGGGAAAGAUUUAUCGCCAUUGGAGCGGCCCGCGUCUGAUUAGCUAGUUGGUAGGGUAAAGGCCUACCAAGGCUACGAUCAGUAGCUGGUCUGAGAGGAUGAUCAGCCACACUGGGACUGAGACACGGCCCAGACUCCUACGGGAGGCAGCAGUAGGGAAUCUUGCGCAAUGGGCGAAAGCCUGACGCAGCCAUGCCGCGUGAAUGAUGAAGGUCUUAGGAUUGUAAAAUUCUUUCAGCGGGACGAUAAUGACGGUACCCGCAGAAGAAGCCCCGGCUAACUUCGUGCCAGCAGCCGC
RNAcentral lists this ribosomal RNA (445 nucleotides) under uncultured bacterium. RNAcentral's name for it is "SSU rRNA". It matches the Rfam family "Bacterial small subunit ribosomal RNA", at positions 26 to 518 of the family's 1533-position model. The record is from RNAcentral.